This 492-nucleotide ribosomal RNA is filed under the name uncultured bacterium. RNAcentral describes it as "partial 16S ribosomal RNA". It matches the Rfam family "Bacterial small subunit ribosomal RNA", at positions 29 to 507 of the family's 1533-position model. The record is from RNAcentral.
AGUGAACGCUGGCGGUAGGCCUAACACAUGCAAGUCGAACGGCAGCACAGUAAGAGCUUGCUCUUACGGGUGGCGAGUGGCGGACGGGUGAGGAAUACAUCGGAAUCUACUUUUUCGUGGGGGAUAACGUAGGGAAACUUACGCUAAUACCGCAUACGACCUACGGGUGAAAGCAGGGGAUCUUCGGACCUUGCGCGAUUGAAUGAGCCGAUGUCGGAUUAGCUAGUUGGCGGGGUAAAGGCCCACCAAGGCGACGAUCCGUAGCUGGUCUGAGAGGAUGAGCAGCCACACUAGAACUGAGACACGGUCCAGACUACUACGGGAGGCAGCGGUGGGGAAUAUUGGACAAUGGGCGCAAGCCUGAUCCAGCCAUACCGCGUGGGUGAAGAAGGCCUUCGGGUUGUAAAGCCCUUUUGUUGGGAAAGAAAAGCAGCAGGUUAAUACCCCGCUGUUCUGACGGUACCCAAAGAAUAAGCACCGGCUAACUUCGUG